Long non-coding RNA from Oncorhynchus tshawytscha (Chinook salmon), 1029 nucleotides. The record is from Ensembl. Lineage: Eukaryota; Metazoa; Chordata; Actinopteri; Salmoniformes; Salmonidae.
GCAAGUACCAACACAGACCCAGUACUGGCAGCGUCAGCAAGUACCAACACAGACCCAGUACUGGCAGCGUCAGCAAGUACCAACACAGACCCAGUACAGGCAGCGCCAGCAAGUACCAACACAGACCCAAAUAGAAUAGUUGCUGCUCCACCAAAUUACCCAGCAGAUUGGCCCCCAGUCUUAACAUACGUUAUAAGGACUGAGUUAGUGCGCAGAGGUCCAUUUUUAAACCAGGCCUGGAUUUUUUUCUUACCCUAAAGACAAGUCUAGAAGAGACGCCGUACCCAUUCAGGCUUAUUACAGAGACCGCUGUGUUACGUUCCCCAGAUUAUGUGUUGUAGUUUGUGUAUUUGCAUGUGUUUAUUUCAGGAAAUGGCUUCCUGAAAUCCCUCAAGCAGCUGAUUGGUCGACUCCAGGGCUAAUUGGAGAGCUGACCCCGCCCCCUCGUCAAGACACAGCUGUCUCCAAUUACCCAUUCCUUCAGAAGCUAUAUAAAAGCCAGUGUUCUGUUCAGGAGUGCUUGUUGUAGAGGAUUUUGCUGGAGGUAGAUUUGCUAGAGAAAUUUGCUGGGAGGUCAUUGUAGAGAUUUUGCUAGAGAGAUUUUGCUGGGAGUUCAUUGCUGAGAGUUCAUUGCUGAGAGUUGGUAUGUUUUGUGAGUUUGUUGCUCAGAUAGAACUUAUUUGAUGUCCUUUGUCUCUUAGUUUGGUUUGUGAAAUUGUUUAAUAUUCUGUUUCAUUUGUUCCCAGGGGGGAAGGGGAAGGCACCUAGGGAGUGCUUAGGCAAGAGGCCCGCGGGCAUACAUAUACCCGUAGCAUAUUCGCUGUCUAGGCACACUAGGUAAGACCUGGGCGGACCACCCCUUGUAUUUUGGUUAGGGCACCAGGUGGUGCUAAAUUAGCUAAGUAGGGGGGGCUUUGAGAUUUACUUUCUUUGCUUUGGUUCCGUCCAGCCCCUUUUCCCCAUAUUACCAUGUAAAGGAAUAAAGUCCUUGUAAACGGUACCACAUUCUGCUUGUCAUUUUUACUCGCA